CCUACGGGUGGCAGUAGUCGAGAAUCAUUCACAAUGGGGGAAACCCUGAUGGUGCGACGCCGCGUGGGGGAAUGAAGGUCUUCGGAUUGUAAACCCCUGUCAUGUGGGAGCAAAUUAAAAAGAUAGUACCACAAGAGGAAGAGACGGCUAACUCUGUGCCAGCAGCCGCGGUAAUACAGAGGUCUCAAGCGUUGUUCGGAAUCACUGGGCGUAAAGCGUGCGUAGGCUGUUUCGUAAGUCGUGUGUGAAAGGCGCGGGCUCAACCCGCGGACGGCACAUGAUACUGCGAGACUAGAGUAAGGGAGGGGGAACCGGAAUUCUCGGUGUAGCAGUGAAAUGCGUAGAUAUCGAGAGGAACACUCGUGGCGAAGGCGGGUUCCUGGACAUUAACUGACGCUGAGGCACGAAGGCCAGGGGAGCGAAAGGGAUUAGAUACCCUAGUAGUC
RNAcentral lists this ribosomal RNA (446 nucleotides) under uncultured bacterium. RNAcentral describes it as "partial 16S ribosomal RNA". It matches the Rfam family "Bacterial small subunit ribosomal RNA", at positions 338 to 795 of the family's 1533-position model. The record is from RNAcentral.